This 854-nucleotide ribosomal RNA is filed under the name uncultured bacterium. Its description in RNAcentral is "bacterial SSU rRNA". It matches the Rfam family "Bacterial small subunit ribosomal RNA", at positions 34 to 865 of the family's 1533-position model. The record is from RNAcentral.
CGCUGGCGGCAUGCUUAAUACAUGCAAGUCGAACGCUGAAGCACUCUGCUUGCCAGAGUGCGGAUGAGUGGCGAACGGGGUGAGUAACACGUGGGGAAAUCUGCCUAGGAGUGGGGGAUAACAUUCGGAAACGGAUGCUAAUACCGCAUAUCUUUUNGAACCGCAUGGUUCUUAAACGAAAGACGGCUUCGGCUGUCGCUCUUAGAUGAUCCCGCGGCGUAUUAGUUAGUUGGUGGGGUAAAGGCCUACCAAGACCAUGAUACGUAGCCGACCUGAGAGGGUGAUCGGCCACACUGGGACUGAGACACGGCCCAGACUCCUACGGGAGGCAGCAGUAGGGAAUCUUCCACAAUGGGUGAAAACCUGAUGGAGCAAUGCCGCGUGAAUGAAGAAGGUCUUCGGAUCGUAAAGUUCUGUUAUUAGAGAAGAACAAGUCAAGGAGUAACUGUCUUGACUUUGACGGUACCUAACCAGAAAGUCACGGCUAACUACGUGCCAGCAGCCGCGGUAAUACGUAGGUGACAAGCGUUGUCCGGAAUUAUUGGGCGUAAAGGGAGCGCAGGCGGUUGGAAUAGUCUGAUGUGAAAGCCCACGGCUUAACCGUGGAAGGUCAUUGGAAACUGUCCAACUUGAAUGCAGAAGAGGUAAGUGGAAUUCCAUGUGUAGCGGUGAAAUGCGUAGAUAUAUGGAGGAACACCAGUGGCGAAGGCGACUUACUGGUCUGUGAUUGACGCUGAGGCUCGAAAGCGUGGGUAGCGAACAGGAUUAGAUACCCUGGUAGUCCACGCCGUAAACGAUGAGUGCUAAGCGUUGGAGGGUUUCCGCCCUUCAGUGCUGGAGUUAACGCAUUAAGC